This 69-nucleotide transfer RNA is filed under the name human gut metagenome. It matches the Rfam family "tRNA". From Rfam's summary of the family: Transfer RNA (tRNA) molecules are approximately 80 nucleotides in length. Their secondary structure includes four short double-helical elements and three loops (D, anti-codon, and T loops). The record is from RNAcentral. RNAcentral also lists the same sequence under 1 other name.
CCAGAUAGCUCAGUUGGUAGAGCGGAGGACUGAAAAUCCUUGUGUCCCUGGUUCGAUUCCUGGUCUGGC